This 263-nucleotide ribosomal RNA is filed under the name uncultured bacterium. Its description in RNAcentral is "partial 16S ribosomal RNA". It matches the Rfam family "Bacterial small subunit ribosomal RNA", at positions 793 to 1055 of the family's 1533-position model. The record is from RNAcentral.
GUCCAUGCCGUAAACGUUGGGCACUAGGUGUGGGUCUCAACCAACGAGAUCCGCGCCGUCGCUAACGCAUUAAGUGCCCCGCCUGGGGAGUACGGUCGCAAGACUAAAACUCAAAGGAAUUGACGGGGGCCCGCACAAGCAGCGGAGCGUGUUGCUUAAUUCGAUGCAACGCGAAGAACCUUACCUGGGUUUGACAUGUACCGAAAAGCUCUAGAGAUAGGGUGUCCUUCGGGCGGUACGACAGGUGGUGGCAUGGCUGUCGU